This 237-nucleotide ribosomal RNA is filed under the name uncultured bacterium. Its description in RNAcentral is "partial 16S ribosomal RNA". It matches the Rfam family "Bacterial small subunit ribosomal RNA", at positions 1264 to 1500 of the family's 1533-position model. The record is from RNAcentral.
GGAGCGAAUCNCAAAACUACGGUCUCAGUUCAGAUUGCAGGCUGCAACUCGCCUGCAUGAAGUUGGAAUUGCUAGUAAUCGCGAAUCAGAAUGUCGCGGUGAAUACGUUCCCGGGUCUUGUACACACCGCCCGUCACACCACGAGAGUUUACAACACCCGAAGUCAGUGGCCUAACCGCAAGGAGGGAGCUGCCUAAGGUGGGGUAGAUGAUUGGGGUGAAGUCGUAACAAGGUACC